Molecule: non-coding RNA, 2772 nt
Organism: Solanum lycopersicum (tomato)
Lineage: Eukaryota; Viridiplantae; Streptophyta; Magnoliopsida; Solanales; Solanaceae
Source: RefSeq, a predicted model, not a curated record
AAAUGCUUAUUCUUAAAUUUAAUUCCCAACACUUGAGCGUUUAUUUUUUCUUUUGAUAAACCCCGAAGAAACCCUUGUCUGUCGACGACUUUCCGGUUCGCCUCUCUUACUGUUAGUACCAUUUAGAGAGAGAGAAAGACAUUAGUGUUGAGUGAGAUGAUUAAAGGAGGCAAAACAUCGGUGCUAACAUAUGCUGAAAAAUGCAAGAAUAUAUUGGCAUCUAAUUGGCAAGGUUACCUUAACACUGUGAAGGCUGAUGCUAAUGGAAGCAAAGGGGAAAUAUACACUUCAAAAGUCCGCUAUUUCGUCAAGAGAGGCAAGCCCUACAUCUGGGUACCUGAAAAUGAUAUGCACAAUGUGAACACAAUGAUAGAUGAGCGUGGUUCCUUUGCUGUGACCAGUCCCUUCCCAGGUCCACUGCCAAGUUUUCUCAAGUCUAUCAAGAAAUUACCAGCUCGGGUUGCUUUGAUGGGUGAAGUUCUGCCUCUUAAAAAUGAAAAGGCUAGGUUGCCUGGAGAGAGCCUUAAGGAAGUCAUAUCAUCUGAAAGGAGCAUGAUAGAGAAGUACUCUUACUCCGUUUUGGGUAUACUGAGUUCAUCCAGCCUUGGUGCUACAUGCCGAGGUGACAAUCUCCAGGAAUUACUUGAGUCAGACAAAAGAUAUGUUGUCUUCAAGUUCAACCCAAGUUCAUACACGUACUUUGACAGCAAUGGGGGGACUCAUGAACUAGAUCUAGAGGAAGUCCAUGCAACAAAACCUGAUCCUUUAUCAUCACAUACCAUGAGCUUGAUUGAUGGAAUUAAUCAAAGUGAGGUGAGGCGUAGGGCUCUGAUUCUCUUCUGCAUCACACACUUGAAUAAGAACGCAAAGAAGAGAGCUGAUCCCUGGUUUUAUGUGAAGGAUGCGUAUCUGCUUUCUAUAGAUCGGAAAGGAUUGGAUGUGGUGGGAAAAGUUUUAGGUCCAAUAAGGAGUGAUGGUUCUCGUGAAUAUCAGUGGAGGGAGUUGAGAAUUGCAUUCAGAGAAGAGGCACACACUGUUGAAACAUUCUGCCGUCAGCUUGUUGAAAUGGAGGAGGAAUCACUCGAGAGUAUCUCCAACUUUAGUGGUAUAUAAAUAGGGUGGAAUUAGCAUCGCACCGACAGAUUUGAAGAGCAAGCAACCUGUGAUGGACAGGAAUAAUUGCAUCAUGGGUCAUUUUUGACAGAAGGGGAGCUGUGAUAGAGGGUAGAUUAGUGAUCUUGUGAUUUGAGGUGACAGUAGGAAGCCCCUACUAGACACACAUGACUCGUUUUCAAGGCUGGAUAGCUACUUGCUAGUCAGGGCUGGCAGAAGAAAGUUUUGAAUCCCUGCAGGCAGGUUAGUGUUCUUAAUUCGCUCAUCAAUUGCUUGGCUAACAUAAGAUAGGUAUGUACAGGUAGAGUACUUGAUCCAGUUCAUAUUUCCUACUAAAUAAGGGAGGUCAAUGAUCGAUCAUGAUUCACACAUCAAUAUCUUUUUAGUCGAGUUAGUCAUACCAGGUUUAUCUAAUAUAGUUACAUCUUUUAUGUGAAUCCUUUUGAGGAGACUAAUAAAUCAACAAUAGGAAAUGAACGAUUUUAGUUUUUAGAAAAGGCUACAAAUCUUUUUACGAAAAAAAUAAAUGGUUUCACUUGAUUCAUAGAUGAUAUCUAAACGUAAUUAUUAAUAUUAUCACUCAUGGUACCUCAAAAUGAUCCCUGUAGAAAUAACUAAAAAACCAAAUUUUCAAAUAAUAAAGAAAAGCAUACCUCAUGUAUCGAAUAAAUUUCUCCAUCAACUUGUAUCGAAUAGUCAGUUACACAUUUUAACUAUAAUGACGAUCUAUUACAUACCUAUUCUUGUUCAAAGUGUAAAUAAUAUCAUUCUAAAACUGAUGUGGAAAUAAAAUUAAGAUUAAAAAUAAAUUAGGAACGUUUGAUUUGAAAUAAAGUCAGAAAAAGUGUUUUUUUUAAACCCCCACCCCCUGUUUUCUUCUUUCUCAUGUUAAAUUUUUUUCUUAGCACAUUUUUACAAAUUGUCACUCAAUCUCAUUUUGUUCUUAUCAUAUUUUUACAAUUUUCACUCAAUUUCAUCAUUCUACUUGAAAAAAGUAAAUUUUUAAUUUACAUAUCACAAUGAUUAUAGGAAUUUGAGACUUCGUUAUCCUAAUCUUUCCACUUUCUCCUUCAAAUUUUUGUACAAAGCACAAUGCUUACUGAAACACCAUGGAUCAUAAAUGGACCGAAAAACAAAACUAUCUUCCCUAAAAACGCCAUGGAUCUGAAAAAAACAUCUGCUGUACUCAAGCUGGAGGAGGAAGUUCGUUGAAACGAAGCUCAUAGAUCUUAAAGCUUGAAACACCGUAGAUCUGAAAGACGAAGCUCAUUGAAACGUCAUUAGAUCCAUGGUUGAAGCUUUGAGCUUAUUGAAACAGCUGCAAUAAAAAUUAAAAGCAAAAAAAUCGAGAAGGGAUGGUAAAGGGGAUUUAUUUGGUGUUUGUCAAUGACCGAUUUAGUGUUUUGGAUGGUGUGGUGGCUGAGGUAAUUGUUUGGUGGUUGUUUUAUGUCAGAGAUGGGUCGGAUGUUGGGGAAAUAAGGAGAUUACGUUAUGGAGGUAGGUUUGUGGUUGUGGGUUGGUUGUUCUUGGCCGGAGAAGAUAAAGAGAAUUGUGAUAUAAAUUCAAAUGAAUAUUUUUUUCUAGUUGAGAUAGUAGAUAAGAUUUAGAUUGGAAGAAGAUAUGAUUAUUAGAGAAUUUUAAAAAUUAGUUUGGUAUUAA